UGGGGAUAUAGCUCAGUGGUAGAGCGCUGCUUUUGCACGGCAGAUGUCAGGAGUUCGACUCUCCUUAUCUCCAA
Molecule: transfer RNA, 74 nt
Filed under: Caulerpa sertularioides f. longipes
Lineage: Eukaryota; Viridiplantae; Chlorophyta; Ulvophyceae; Bryopsidales; Caulerpaceae
Also listed under: 2 other names
Description: tRNA-Ala
Rfam family: tRNA
About the family: Transfer RNA (tRNA) molecules are approximately 80 nucleotides in length.
Source: RNAcentral